GGAUGUGAGAGCCAUCUGGCUAUGACAUCUGCUACCCCAUUGAUCACCAAGGUUGACUGGGCUGAUCUGGCUGGCUAGGUGUAUGUUCCCUUCCUCCCUCACAGCUCCCUGUGCGUCCCUCCCGAAGCUGCACGCUCCAUUGAAGAGGACGACCAUCCUAGAUAGAGGAGGACCAGUCAUUUUUUUUGGGGG
Molecule: small nuclear RNA, 192 nt
Filed under: Dipodomys ordii (Ord's kangaroo rat)
Lineage: Eukaryota; Metazoa; Chordata; Mammalia; Rodentia; Heteromyidae
Description: 7SK RNA
Rfam family: 7SK RNA
About the family: 7SK was discovered as an abundant small nuclear RNA in the mid-70s but a possible function has only recently been suggested. Two independent studies have found that 7SK RNA binds the CDK9/cyclin T complex (known as elongation factor P-TEFb).
Source: Rfam by way of RNAcentral